GUCCUUGCCGUAAACGAUGUGGAUUAGGUGUUGGAGGUGUCGAUCCCUCCAGCGCCGACGCUAACGCAUUAAAUCCACCACCUGUGGAGUACGGUCGCAAGACUGAAACUCAAAGAAAUUGACGGGGACCCGCACAAGCGGUGGAGCAUGUGGUUUAAUUCGAGGCUACGCGAAGAACCUUACCCAGGCUUGACAUGUAUUUGCAAGCCCAUGAAAGUGGGUCCUCUCGCAAGAGACGAUUACACAGGUGCUGCAUGGCUGUCGU
RNAcentral lists this ribosomal RNA (265 nucleotides) under uncultured bacterium. Its description in RNAcentral is "partial 16S ribosomal RNA". It matches the Rfam family "Bacterial small subunit ribosomal RNA", at positions 793 to 1055 of the family's 1533-position model. The record is from RNAcentral.